UGGGACUCAGACACGGCCCUAACUCCUACGGGAGGCAGCAGAUGGGAAUCUUCGGCAAUCGACGAAAGUCGGACCGACCAACGCCGCGUGACUGAAGCAUGUGUUCGGAACCUGAAACUCCAACGUUGGAGAAGAACACGGCUUCGAGUGACGGCUCAUCCCUCGACGGCAUCUAACCAGAACGCGACGACUAACUAGGUGCCAGAAGCCGCGGGAAUCCGGAGGGGGCAAGCGAUGUCCGGAUUUAUAGGGCGUAAAGAGAGCGCAGGCGGAUUCUUUACUCUGAUACGCAAGGCCCCAGGUAGAACGGGGAGGGUCAUUGGAAACUUGGAGACUUGCGCGGUGCAAAGGGGAGGGGGAAUUCAGAGUAAGCGGAGCCAAGCGACGAUAGAUGGAGGGAGAACCGGGGCGGAGCGGGACAGCUCGUCUGUGACUGGAGCUGAGGCACGGGACAGGGGGGGGGACACGG
This 469-nucleotide ribosomal RNA is filed under the name Enterococcus faecium. RNAcentral describes it as "bacterial SSU rRNA". It matches the Rfam family "Bacterial small subunit ribosomal RNA", at positions 314 to 775 of the family's 1533-position model. The record is from RNAcentral. Lineage: Bacteria; Bacillati; Bacillota; Bacilli; Lactobacillales; Enterococcaceae.